This is a long non-coding RNA of Suricata suricatta (meerkat), 608 nucleotides long. RefSeq lists it as uncharacterized. NCBI's taxonomy places the organism in Eukaryota, Metazoa, Chordata, Mammalia, Carnivora, Herpestidae. The transcript has 2 exons. The record is from RefSeq and is a predicted model, not a curated record.
AUCGCUUAAGAAACCAAGAUUCUGUGAUUAAACAAAUGCCCUUGGUAAUGAAGGGCAGGGCCCGCGCUGCACCCCAGGGAAGGAGUCUGUAAGAUGGCAGGACUCGGAGUAAUUCCAAAUGUGACACUUCUCACGUAUCUCCAGAUUUAUCGUCCUGAACUUUUUAGGAGUAGAAAUUGAGAAGAAAAAAUAAAUGAAAAAACCCCACAGAAAACGAAAAACAAACCAGCAGGGGAUUCAGCUGUAACUCCCACCUCUGAUAUGCUGGAGCUCCCCAAACGAAUGCCAGACACACAGUCCUUCGAGGCACUGUGAAUGAACAAACUAACCACAGGCCAGCAUCAUGGAUGCUCACCACGGAGGACAGGCCGUCAUCCCUGUUCAGGAGAGAAGAGAACAAAUUGGGGGAAACCCCUCACUGGAAACCGUUGAUCCUGAAAGCCGUGCCCUGCCCGGUGGAGGUGACCAUGCUGAAAGUGCGGUGGGAACUUUGGUUAUCGCGGCAGGAAGGAGCCUUCUUCUUGUCUUGGGGCAUAACGCAAACCAGAUGGCUUAAGAAUAAACUGAAAUGCCAGCAGCCUUGGAAAUGGCUCAGUUUGUAACUCAAA